Molecule: ribosomal RNA, 419 nt
Filed under: uncultured bacterium
Lineage: Bacteria
Description: partial 16S ribosomal RNA
Rfam family: Bacterial small subunit ribosomal RNA
Source: RNAcentral
UGGGGAAUAUUGGCACAAUGGGCGAAAGCCUGAAUGCAGCAACGCCGCAGUGCAGUGAUGAAAGGGCCCUUUCGGGGAUUGGCUUGAAAAUGGCAUCCUGUUCUUUUUUGGGGACGAUAAUGACGGUACCAAAGGAGGAAGCCACGGCUAACUACGUGCCAGCAGCCGCGGUAAUACGUAGGUGGCAAGCGUUGUCCGGAUUUACUGGGCGUAAAGGAUGCGUAGGCGGAUUUUUAAGUGAGAUGUGAAAUACCCGGGCUUAACUUGGGUGCUGCAUUUCAAACUGGGAAUCUAGAGUGCGGGAGAGGAGAAUGGAAUUCCUAGUGUAGCGGGUGAAAAUGCGUAGAGAUUUAGGAAGAACACCAGUGGCGAAAGGCGAUUCUCUGGGACCGUAACUGACGCUGAGGCAUGAAAAGCGU